RNAcentral lists this long non-coding RNA (626 nucleotides) under Helianthus annuus (common sunflower). RNAcentral's name for it is "hypothetical non coding rna". The record is from RNAcentral. Lineage: Eukaryota; Viridiplantae; Streptophyta; Magnoliopsida; Asterales; Asteraceae.
GUGUGCGUGUGAUCGAGCAGGAGAAAAGGGGAAGGGGUGUAAACCCUAACCCACAUGAAAUCAUCAAAUUGGAAAAGGAUUUGAGGGUUAAUUGGAUGCAUGAACCAAGAUUUAUGAUCACUCAAGCGUUCUUGACACCAAGAUAGGAAUCCCAAAUUGACAUGGACUCAAGUAUGGAAAGCUAACGGGUCAAGCGGAGGUGAGGAAGCAAGCAUGAACACUAACACUUAAGAUAUGUAGGUGCGUAUGAUCAGACGUAUGAAUAUAUGAAUGCACGAAGUAGGAUUUAUCGUCUAUGAAAAGAAUGGGACAGGAAUGAGAACGUCAGACUCUUGUAGAAUUGAAGCCGAACCUUGAAGCCGAACUCGGAACAAAGGAAUCCGAGAGGAUAGUCGAAUGAAUCAAAGUACUACACGGAUUUCUUCUGCUGCUAAGGAAGCGAAGCGGACGUAGAUCGAGUCAAGAGCAAGGAUUGUACGGAUAGAUCGGUCACAUAGUUGAAGUAUAUAAUGUCUAGAAAUCUAAAUUUUAGUAUGAAUGUUGUGAAUUCUUUUAUAGAACGUUUAACAUUUUUAGAAUUUGGAACCUUCGUGAAAGUAAUGUCGUUAAUAAGGAAAGAAAUUUUA